GCUGGCGGCGUGCUUAACACAUGCAAGUGGAGCGACGAACCAGGGCUUGCCCUGGGGCAGAGCCGCGAACGGGUGAGUAACACGUGGGUUACCUGCCUCGAUGACCGGGACAACCCGAGGAAACUCGGGCUAAUACCGGAUGUGCCCGCAAGGGGAAAGGAAGCUUCGGCCUCCGCAUCGAGAUGGGCCCGCGGCCCAUUAGCUUGUUGGUGAGGUAACGGCUCACCAAGGCUUCGAUGGGUAGCUGGUCUGAGAGGACGAUCAGCCACACUGGGACUGAGACACGGCCCAGACUCCUACGGGAGGCAGCAGUGGGGAAUCUUGCGCAAUGCGCGAAAGCGUGACGCAGCAACGCCGCGUGGGGGAAGAAGGCUUUCGGGUUGUAAACCCCUUUCAGUUGGGACGAAGCUUCGCCGGUGAAUAGCCGGCUGGAGUGACGGUACCUUCACAAG
RNAcentral lists this ribosomal RNA (452 nucleotides) under uncultured soil bacterium. RNAcentral's name for it is "bacterial SSU rRNA". It matches the Rfam family "Bacterial small subunit ribosomal RNA", at positions 35 to 487 of the family's 1533-position model. The record is from RNAcentral.